This 1223-nucleotide long non-coding RNA is filed under the name Dasypus novemcinctus (nine-banded armadillo). Its description in RNAcentral is "lncRNA (ENSDNOG00000051081.1)". The record is from RNAcentral. Lineage: Eukaryota; Metazoa; Chordata; Mammalia; Cingulata; Dasypodidae.
GCCGUCUUAGCUGGCCCCGGGUAGGCUCGGCAUCCCCGGCAGCCGUCUUAGCUGGCCCCGGGUAGGAUCGGCAUCCCCCGGCAACCGUCUUAGCUGGCCCCGGGCAGGGUCGGGCAUCCCUCGGCAGUACUCUUAGCUGGCCCCGGGCAGAGUCUAGCACCCCCGCAGCGGUCUUAGCUGACCCCGGCAGGAUCGGGCAUCCCCGGCAGCCGUCUUAGCUGGCCCCGGCAGGAUCGGGCAUCCCUGGCAGCCCUCUCAGCUGACCCCGGGCAGGAUCUGACCAUCCCUGGGUAGGAUCUGGCUGUCCGUGGUCUCUGGGCAGAUCUGGCCGCCCCUGGCAGCUCGCACGCUGGCCCGGCCUCUGGACCACAAGUAACCAUGGGUCUGCCCGGGGCCGUGCCUCUGCCCGGUGGGGAAAGGCCUUCCCCUCCCUCUCGUCCCCUUCCUCAGAGGCCCCCCGCAGUGCCCGAGUGCUCCGGGGUCUGGUAGAGCUUCUAGAGGCGCAUUUAGCCAGCGCUUCGCCAAGCACCGAGGCGUCGAGGGAUGGCGACAAACAACAGCCAGUCUCUCUUCAGCAGAUACUUCCUGAAUUCCCUUCUGUGCCGGACGUAGGCUAAGCGCUGGGGUACGGCGGUGAACGUAAUGAACAUGGUCUCCGCAUCUGCCGAGUUUAGAGCCUGAUGCGAGACAACCAAGCAAAGCAAGAUCAACAAUAAGCACAGAGGCCACUGGUGACUGCUUCUCAGAUGAAGUCUGCUCAGGCCUGCCCCCUCAGGCACACAGGCCCUGGCUGCCUCUCACCGCCACCCCUCGCUGCGGGAGGCGUCUGGGUGGUUUUUAUUUUUAAGACACUCAGACAACCAAAGAAAAGCAAAUGCUGUCCCUCCUGAAACGCCUCCUCCCUCUCUCCAAACUCCCCAUUCCCAGCAGCAAACCUGGGCAAACUCCCAAAAUGUGGGAUGUUCCUGAACUGGUGUCGUCAGCUUCAUCAUUCAGAAGGUGGGGAGGAUGGAUCUCUGCAGAAAGGUUCCGCCGCAUCCUACUUCCUGUCCUCACCCUCACCAGUGUCUCCAGGGAGAGCGGGAUCCGCUGGACAGAGCAGCCGGCAACGUCACUGCGGCGGGCAGGGCAGAGCGUCGUGCAAUUGUCCAGGUGUGAUGGUAGCGCCAGGCCUGGGCCGUGCGGUGGCAGCGACAUGGAGGGAUGGGGCGGCAGGGCCCAUG